UACGGAGGGUGCAAACGUUGCUCGGAAUCAUUGGGCGUAAAGCGCACGUAGGCGGCGUGGUAAGUUGGGUGUGAAAGCCCUGGGCUCAACCCAGGAAGUGCAUUCAAAACUGUCUCGCUUGAAUCUCGGAGGGGGUCAGAGAAUUCCCGGUGUAGAGGUGAAAUUCGUAGAUAUCGGGAGGAAUACCAGUGGCGAAGGCGCUGACCUGGACGAAGAUUGACGCUGAGGUGCGAAAGCGCGGGGAGCAAACAGG
This 253-nucleotide ribosomal RNA is filed under the name uncultured bacterium. RNAcentral's name for it is "partial 16S ribosomal RNA". It matches the Rfam family "Bacterial small subunit ribosomal RNA", at positions 524 to 776 of the family's 1533-position model. The record is from RNAcentral.